RNAcentral lists this ribosomal RNA (781 nucleotides) under uncultured Neocallimastigales. RNAcentral describes it as "partial large subunit ribosomal RNA". It matches the Rfam family "Eukaryotic large subunit ribosomal RNA", at positions 23 to 647 of the family's 3401-position model. The record is from RNAcentral. Lineage: Eukaryota; Fungi; Neocallimastigomycota; Neocallimastigomycetes; Neocallimastigales.
GGAGACUCUGUGCGCGUGCAUAUCAAUAAGCGGAGGAAAAGAAACUAACAAGGAUUCCCCUAGUAACGGCGAGUGAAGCGGGAAGAGCUCAAAUUUGAAAUCUUCAAGGUUCUGACCUUGACGAAUUGUAGUUUAAUAGAAGUGUUUUCGGUUAGUAGGAGUAGGCUAAAAGUUCUUUGGAAUAGGACAUCAUAGAGGGUGAGAAUCCCGUAUUUGACCGUUACUUUCCAGCUGUGUGAUACACUUUCAAAGAGUCGGAUUGUUUGGGAAUGCAGUCCAAAAUGGGUGGUAAAUUUCAUCUAAAGCUAAAUAUUGGCGAGAGACCGAUAGCGAACAAGUACCGUGAGGGAAAGAUGAAAAGAACUUUGAAAAGAGAGUUAAACAGUACGUGAAAUUGUCAAAAGGGAAGCGUUUGACACCAGUGUUGUUUAAUUGAAAAUCAAUUCAAUAGUUUUUGAUUCUAAGUAGUAUUGACUUCAUCAGCUUGCUGCUUUCUUCUCAGAAAUUAUUGAAUGCACUUUUCAGUUAACAAGUCAACAUCAAUUUCUUUUGUUGUAAAAGGGUAAGAGGAAGGUGGCUUGCGCUUCGGCUCAAGUGUUUAUAACCUUUUAUCUCUGCAAUCGGAGAGAUUGAGGUCUGCAGCGUAGAUCCUUCGGGGUUAGAUACAUUGGUGCUAAGCUAUAGCCUUGUAUAGACAACUUGUUGACUAUGCUCAGUCAUGUAGCUUACUCGCUGAUGCUAUUUUACCUACGCUUAGGAUGUUGAUCUGUAGUGCGUGCGC